AUUGAACGCUGGCGGCAUGCCUUACACAUGCAAGUCGAACGGCAGCACGGGAGCUUGCUCCUGGUGGCGAGUGGCGAACGGGUGAGUAAUACAUCGGAACGUACCCUGAAGUGGGGGAUAACGUAGCGAAAGUUACGCUAAUACCGCAUAUUCUGUGAGCAGGAAAGAGGGGGAUCGCAAGACCUCUUGCUUUUAGGAGCGGCUGAUGUCGGAUUAGCUAGUUGGUGAGGUAAAGGGCUCACCAAGGCGACGAUCCGUAGCGGGUCUGAGAGGAUGAUCCGCCACACUGGGACUGAGACACGGCCCAGACUCCUACGGGAGGCAGCAGUGGGGAAUUUUGGGACAAUGGGCGCAAGCCUGAUCCAGCCAUGCCGCGUGAGUGAAGAAGGCCU
This 392-nucleotide ribosomal RNA is filed under the name uncultured bacterium. Its description in RNAcentral is "bacterial SSU rRNA". It matches the Rfam family "Bacterial small subunit ribosomal RNA", at positions 30 to 417 of the family's 1533-position model. The record is from RNAcentral.